AUAGCGACUAUCGUGGCAUAUCAAUAAGCGGAGGAAAAGAAACUAACAAGGAUUCCCUUAGUAACGGCGAGUGAAGCGGGAAGAGCUCAAAUUUGAAAUCUUCAAGGUUCUACCUUGACGAAUUGUAGUUUAUAGAAGUGUUUUCUGUUAGUAGAGUGGCAAAAGUUCUUUGGAAUAGGACAUCAUAGAGGGUGAGAAUCCCGUAUUUGGUCAUUCCUCCUAGCGUUGUGAUACACUUUCAACGAGUCGGAUUGUUUGGGAAUGCAGUCCAAAAUGGGUGGUAAAUUUCAUCUAAAGCUAAUAUUGGCGAGAGACCGAUAGCGAACAAGUACCGUGAGGGAAAGAUGAAAAGAACUUUGAAAAGAGAGUUAAACAGUACGUGAAAUUGUCAAAAGGGAAGCGUUUGACACCAGUGUUGUUUUUCCGAAAAUCAAUUACGAAUGUUUUGUUUUUGAGAAGUUAUGACUUCAUCGGCUUGCUCCUUUCUUUACGAAACUUUCUUAAUGCACUUUUCGGUUAACAAGUCAACAUCAAUUUCUUUUGUUGUAAAAGGGUAUGAGGAAGGUGGCUUUCUUUUCGGAGAAAGUGUUUAUAGCCUUGUACCUCUGCAAUCGGAGAGAUUGAGGUCUGCAGCGUAGAUCCUUCGGGGUUAGAUACAUUUGUGCUAAGUUAUAGCUUUUCAUAGACAACUUGUUGACUAUGUUUAGUCUUGUAGCUUACUCGCUUACUGCUAUUUUACCUACGCUUAGGAUGUUGAUAGUCACAGCGUGUAC
This 773-nucleotide ribosomal RNA is filed under the name uncultured Neocallimastigales. RNAcentral describes it as "partial large subunit ribosomal RNA". It matches the Rfam family "Eukaryotic large subunit ribosomal RNA", at positions 22 to 644 of the family's 3401-position model. The record is from RNAcentral. Lineage: Eukaryota; Fungi; Neocallimastigomycota; Neocallimastigomycetes; Neocallimastigales.